RNAcentral lists this ribosomal RNA (208 nucleotides) under uncultured bacterium. RNAcentral's name for it is "partial 16S ribosomal RNA". It matches the Rfam family "Bacterial small subunit ribosomal RNA", at positions 568 to 774 of the family's 1533-position model. The record is from RNAcentral.
CGCGUAGGCGGGAUGGCAAGUCGGUCGUGAAAUCCCUCGGCUCAACUGAGGGAGCGUCGAUCGAAACUGCCGUUCUUGAGGGUUGCAGAGGAGACUGGAAUUCCCGGUGUAGCGGUGAAAUGUGUAGAGAUCGGGAGGAACACCGGUGGCGAAGGCGGGUCUCUGGGCAACUCCUGACGCUGAGGCGCGAAAGCGUGGGGAGCAAACG